UCCGCAGUCAGCAGAGCGCGUUUCCCGGUCUUGGCGAAACGGCUCUGCAGCAAUUCGGGAGAAGGGAAGUGUUCGCAGCAGCGUUUCAACUUUGCAUUUCCAUCGUAGGAAUGCAAAGUAGCGGGGCUGUGCUUGCCGAGACUUCCGUGGGACUCUCGCAGCGGAGAGCCCAUUCUUGCGGAUUCAUCCCCGUGUGACGCGGGGUGAGCGCUGUCGGACGGGUCUACGGAUCAUCCGCAGGCACCAAACGGCAGCGUGGCAUUCACAUUCCCGGCACUGCUGCUCCCCGUGGGGAAACACUGCGGUUUUCCUCAUUUGCCCUAAACAAAAUCAGUUAGUGAUGAAAACCAUCACCCUGUCACCCAGUUUUCUGCAGACCCAUCAGUCUGUGAACGCGCUGAGUUGCCAACCUGACCCAAGAGGAGAAUCCAGGUAAAACCCAAACCCAGAGGAGCAGACAGAACACAGACUUGGACAAGCCUUGACUGCAGCAUGGCUCAGAGUAGCUGUUUCCAAGAAAAAACUUCUUCCUCAGCAUAGACUGUGCUGCACUGGCUCAGAUGCUCCAGUGCUGAAGCAUGUGGCCUUAAUCUUCAGAAGUGGCAAAUCCUAUUUACUGUAUCCCACAGAAAGCUGAGCAUGGAACUCUUCAGGCUCUCUAAUUGAAGCAAAAAUCACUGGAGUGGAAAGUGUCCUGGCUCUUGAGGAGAUGUCAAAGUACAGAACAUGGCAGACACCUGGGGGUUUGGGAAACUGUGACAGCUACAAGCCGACCUUUGGCAAAUUUAAUCUGCAAAUGGAUUCCUGCUUAGGACAGCUAAUGCUUUUAGUUAUUGUAAAGGCUUGUUCCUGGAUUUUAAAAAGCUGAGAAUA
Melospiza melodia melodia is the source of this 873-nucleotide long non-coding RNA. RefSeq lists it as uncharacterized. The transcript is spliced from 3 exons. The record is from RefSeq and is a predicted model, not a curated record. NCBI's taxonomy places the organism in Eukaryota, Metazoa, Chordata, Aves, Passeriformes, Passerellidae.